Molecule: small nuclear RNA, 107 nt
Organism: Homo sapiens (human)
Lineage: Eukaryota; Metazoa; Chordata; Mammalia; Primates; Hominidae
Source: Ensembl
GUGUUCGCUUUGGCAGCACAUAUAAUAAAAUUGGAGUGAUACGGAGAAGAUUAGCAUGGUCCGUGCACAAGGAUGACAUGCAAAUUCAUGAAGCAUUCCAUCUUCAU